This 987-nucleotide ribosomal RNA is filed under the name Salmonella enterica subsp. enterica serovar Typhimurium str. ST4581. Its description in RNAcentral is "bacterial LSU rRNA". It matches the Rfam family "Bacterial large subunit ribosomal RNA", at positions 1 to 929 of the family's 2925-position model. The record is from RNAcentral. Lineage: Bacteria; Pseudomonadati; Pseudomonadota; Gammaproteobacteria; Enterobacterales; Enterobacteriaceae.
GGUUAAGCGACUAAGCGUACACGGUGGAUGCCCUGGCAGUCAGAGGCGAUGAAGGGCGUGCUAAUCUGCGAUAAGCGCCGGUAAGGUGAUAUGAACCGUUAUAACCGGCGAUACCCGAAUGGGGAAACCCAGUGUGAUUCGUCACACUAUCAUUAACUGAAUCCAUAGGUUAAUGAGGCGAACCGGGGGAACUGAAACAUCUAAGUACCCCGAGGAAAAGAAAUCAACCGAGAUUCCCCCAGUAGCGGCGAGCGAACGGGGAGGAGCCCAGAGCCUGAAUCAGCAUGUGUGUUAGUGGAAGCGUCUGGAAAGGCGCGCGAUACAGGGUGACAGCCCCGUACACAAAAGCGCAUGUGCUGUGAGCUCGAUGAGUAGGGCGGGACACGUGGUAUCCUGUCUGAAUAUGGGGGGACCAUCCUCCAAGGCUAAAUACUCCUGACUGACCGAUAGUGAACCAGUACCGUGAGGGAAAGGCGAAAAGAACCCCGGCGAGGGGAGUGAAAAAGAACCUGAAACCGUGUACGUACAAGCAGUGGGAGCCCCACCACUAAGCCAGUGGUGAACUCCACAUCCGCAUCCUUUGCUGAGGAUACGGUUAACGGAGCGAAAGCGACGUUCAACCGCAAAACAAGCAGAGGGGGCUUAGUGGUGGGGUGACUGCGUACCUUUUGUAUAAUGGGUCAGCGACUUAUAUUCUGUAGCAAGGUUAACCGAAUAGGGGAGCCGGAGGGAAACCGAGUCUUAAUUGGGCGUUAAGUUGCAGGGUAUAGACCCGAAACCCGGUGAUCUAGCCAUGGGCAGGUUGAAGGUUGGGUAACACUAACUGGAGGACCGAACCGACUAAUGUUGAAAAAUUAGCGGAUGACCUGUGGCUGGGGGUGAAAGGCCAAUCAAACCGGGAGAUAGCUGGUUCUCCCCGAAAGCUAUUUAGGUAGCGCCUCGUGAAUUCAUCUCCGGGGGUAGAGCACUGUUUCGGCUAGGGGGCCA